CACCCCACCCCACCCGACCCCACUCUACCCACCUCCUACUCCGACUGUGGGACGACGUCUCUUUCUUCUACGGCUCGAUAGCUGUUUUCGGGGUUUUUCACUCGAUUUCUCUCUGGGAGGUGGCGCUGUUCCUCUCGGAGAGAUAGGGAAACGAUUUUCGUUUGGGGGGUUCCAUUGUUCUUUUAUGCGAUUUGCGGGGGUUUUCGUCACGGUAUUCAAAUUGCGACCAUCUUGUAGAGGGGAUGCUUUUACAUUGCAACGUCGUGAUCCCGCUUUGAUUGAGAUAAAGGGGUUGGUGUGAUUUAAAUGUAAAAAAGAAUCGCUUAUUUUUAGUUAGUUUUUCUCCCGACAGGUGGUUCUGACGCCAAUCCAUAAUUCAAGGCCGACGAACUUCAACGCGGCCUUGGAUUGGAUUCAAAAACAAAACAAAAACAAAACAAGGCUGGCUGCUAAUCAAUCAACUGAACCAAGGCAAGUUUAAAGCAAAAUCUGGUACAAUAGCCGUACGGUUUUUUAUAUACCGAAAAGCAUUCAUUCAUCAUGGAGUCCAGGAUGAUUUACGAUGUGAUGGUAGAACAAUGCUGGAUUACCACCCUAUAAUUCUUGAAACUACAUUAGUUUCUAAUGCCAGUGGAUCGGCAAGGCUGAGACUUGCAAACUCAUCAACAUCUGGAAAAUGAAAUUUGCAAAUUCCUACAAAGAUCCUAUGCUUCAGCUGAUGUGAUUUUUCCACCAGUCCUGAUGUAUCAACACUGGUGCAGAGUCUACGACAAGCCUUGGCCCUUGAAGCUAAAUUCCAACCAAAGCUUCAACUUCUGUCAACACUCAACAGCCAGCAAUACAGGAGAAAGCGGUGAAAUUAUGUGUGCAAUGAGGGAUGGAGCUGCUCAUGUUCUUUGCUGCAUGAAAGUCUGGUAUGAUCUUCCUUAUGCAGUUCUUCUGGAUGCUCUCAACAUGAUGGACUGGUUCAUGAGCCGCAUGAAAGCACUCCUAAACACCUCUCAUGCAUAGCAAUCAGCUCCUUCCAUCUAGCAGCUUGCCAAUGGGUGGAGAGGAUUAAACAGAACAACAUUGAGGUAUCUUCCAUUCAGAGUCCAAUGUAGAUUGUUCCUGAACCUCAAUAUCUGGUAACGAUAUCUUAAUGUAAAUGUACCGCCGGAGACAUCAACCGGAUGGAAAAAAUUGUCGAAGCCAAGAUAGCUUGUCUACCCCAAAAAGAACCGGUCACGACCUUAACAUUCCUCAACCUGUAUCACUCACUUCUCUCGACGACUUUUUACCUGCCGCUCUUCAGCAAGAGCAAGACCUUCUUAUUCUUUCAUGCAAGCAGGAGACCAUUUGCUGUGACGCAAAAUAAUGCUGCCUUUCCCUCAUCUCUUUUGACUUUCGUCCUACUGUUUGUCGAAAUAAAGUGUCACCAGCCGGCCAUCGAGGUUAUUAUCAGAGACGUUUUACUAGAACUUCAGCGACUUGUUCAGGUCAAAGAUGACUAGUUGAAGGAGUGUAUAAGAAUGGUCACUUCGGCAAUGGCACCUUACGAUGGCUAUGCCCAAAGCAAUCCGUCUCAUCGUCAACGACUUACCUGGAAGUUGUCCUUUUUCUACUAUUUCUUUGCCUUCUAAACCAUUUAUAAUAAGUUUUGCCUUUAGUAAAGCAAAAUGCCUAGCUUUUUCUAGUCCUAUACCACUUACUUGUUGAGCCUGUGUAAAUUCGGGUCUCAGUGAUAUAUGAUUACCACUCUUAACAAGAAAACUAUAUAUUUCUUUACUCACUACAUCAGAAGUUUCUCCAAGUGUGCGGUCGAAAAUUUUAGUCAAAAUUCCCUUCAUAGAUAAGAGAAAUAGAGCCGUAAUUUCAUCCUA
RNAcentral lists this long non-coding RNA (1862 nucleotides) under Daphnia pulex (common water flea). RNAcentral's name for it is "uncharacterized LOC124197693, transcript variant X1". Lineage: Eukaryota; Metazoa; Arthropoda; Branchiopoda; Diplostraca; Daphniidae. The record is from RNAcentral.